Molecule: ribosomal RNA, 65 nt
Filed under: Sporomusaceae bacterium
Lineage: Bacteria; Bacillati; Bacillota; Negativicutes; Selenomonadales; Sporomusaceae
Description: partial 16S ribosomal RNA
Rfam family: Bacterial small subunit ribosomal RNA
Source: RNAcentral
UUUUUGGAGAGUUUGAUCCUGGCUCAGGACGAACGCUGGCGGCGUGCUUAACACAUGCAAGUCGA